Non-coding RNA from Meleagris gallopavo (turkey), 4202 nucleotides. Lineage: Eukaryota; Metazoa; Chordata; Aves; Galliformes; Phasianidae. The record is from RefSeq and is a predicted model, not a curated record.
AGUAGAGGAACGAAGCGAUGGCUUCACCCGAACUGCCGUUGUUCCACUCGACGUUGGAAAUCCGGAAGGGUUGAGUGGAAGCUCUGAAUGGCAGAGGAAAGCGUAGCGUAGAAGCAGUUCGAGUUCUAACAGACGCGGCUGUAGCUUGGUUUCGUCCUCGGUAAAUUCAGAAUGCAAAAAUUGAUGCUUCACUGCAAGUGGAAAGGCUUGGAAUAAAAUAGGACAUGAAAAGCCUUUGUCGAGUCCUCUCCCCGCCUCCUCCCACCCCGCAUACAUUUUCUAACUCCCAGAGCCCUCUCCCUUCCGACACGACUGCUUACCUGAGUAAGGCAGGAGCUACCAGGGUGUGACCAUAAGGAACAACCAGGAGGACUUGGCUAAGCUAUGCACUGCUCGGAAAGGUUUCCACCCAGUCUCUUUGGAAUUGUGCCACUUUAUUCAGGCACCGGUGCCUCGGCGGUGCUUGGCACUCUACUUGCCAAGGGGACUUGUCUCUGCUUUGGUUUGGGUGUACAUUUCUCACUGGGAUUUCUUUGGAAAGCAUUUCAAUUCUUCUUGUACUAUAACAAGAACCAAGAAUGAGGAUGUUUUUCCUCCUGUUCAGCUUUGAGCAAUUUGACUUUAGUAACAGUGGCUCAUCACUAAGGCACUGUUUGGGUGCAGUGAUCGAUACCAACAGAGCUCCAGACGGACUGCCAGGUCCUGUCAUUGCUUGUUCCCUUCAUAUAUGCCAGGCUGUAUUUGGCAGGUGGCUUGGAUUUUGAAUUAGAAAGGGGAUUUUGUCAUCCUAAGUACCUGAUUGAAUUCUUAAAUGUUUCUUCAGUUCUACCUUUUUUUUAAUUAUUAUUUAUUGUCUUCUCUGUUCUACCAAACGCUGGAUGAAAAUAUCUCUUCAUGCACAUUUAAAACACGCUGUGAAGUAUAAAGCUCAAAUCACACAAGAACACAAGAUCAGCUUUCCUUCCAAGCACAUAGUCCUGUUUUCUUAUGGCAGUACAAAAUGAGCAUUUCUUAUGGCUCACAAAAUGAAGUCUUUUGUGCAGAUGCGCAGUAAAUCAUCAGAUUGGAAAAUACAUGGAAAGACCUCCUUAGCUCAGGUUGAACCCUUAGUUGGUUUAGUUACGUUGGUUUUCCAGCCGUCUGAAGUGCCAGGCAGUCUAAUCAUUGUUUCCAUGUCAGUUUUCAAAAAGCUUGCUUGUGAUUCAUGGAACAAGUCAGCAUGGCAGCACUGCAUCUUAGUGGAUCACGGCUCUGAGAGUUGAUGCAGGAAUGUGGAAUCGGUUCUGUUCUGUGCUAGGGGCGGAAUCCUUGCUGUUGUGUUAAGGAGAUUGAGAGUCUGCGUGCUGAAUGGAUGUGGAACUUUUCCUUUAGUCAAAAUGACAAGUUUUGAGCGAUCUGUUCUUUGGUCCUAUUCGCAUCUUUAGUUCCAAAUGAACCCCUGUUCUGUGACCUAACCCUGGAUUGGGGCAUACGCUUAUGAUAUAGAUGUUAUUUGAUGUAUUCAUCUGCGGGGAGUACUUAAAUAUUUUAUGUUGGACUGUAACUUUUAUGGCUUUUUAAAAAAAUAUUUUGAAUCGUUCCAUACCUUUUGUUUUAUUAGUGAUAAAGAUUUUCCUCAAAAAAGAUGAUCCUUAAAAAGAUUGAACGCGAACCUUCAGAAGAGUACUUUUCUUUUGUUAAGAAUGAACAGACAUCUCCCAGUUGCAAUUUAAGCAAAGCAUUUGAUAUUGAUUAUAUGAAUAUCAUCUUAAUAGCCAGUUUUAAUCAAGAACUCACACAAAGAUUUUUGAAGGACUGCUAUGAAAGUUUCCCUGCCCUGAAACCCAGUCUAUACGACUGACACUAGCCUGCCUAUCCUGCAUGGUGCCGAGUUGUAGUAGCGAGCAGCCCCUGUGCGGCAGAACGAAGCUGUGGCUGUGGCUGUGGCUUGGGAAGGGCAGUGGCACUGAAAGCCUCCUGUUGGGUUUUUCAGGUGUUAAAUGUCCCACUUCUUUAUAACAGAGCCAUUCAUGGAGGUGUCUGUUUUGAUAGAGAUUUGCUGCCUUUGCUCCAUAAAAAAUUUGACUGAGUAACAUUACAAGUAAGUGACUUCUGGAAAGAAGCAGCCUUAUGCAGGGAAUUAGCACAGAUGUAUGCCGGUUUUUCUUUUACCCAAUAUUCAAGAAUAACUUUUAAAACCAUAAAAGAAAAUACUUGAAAUUGCACAGCUGAGAACUGAAAGGCAUUGGUAAUUUUAUCUGUCCAAGAAUAAACACACUUCGUGUACUAAGCAGAACCGUGCAGCAGUUUCUCUAAGCAUUUAAUGUAAUGAUCUAAUUGCCUACUGACUUGGUAAAAUCUGCUUCUUGGAAGAUCAGCUAUUUCACACAUUAAUAUCCACCAGAAUACCAAUAUGCCAAUAUUCCUGGGUAGCUCCAUGAUUGCAAAGCACACUAUUUCUUGUUAAGAUACAAUUAUCAGAAAAAUAAAUAGGCAUAUUUCUGGGAAUCUUGCUGUCUUGCUGCAGCUGUUGUUUGUCGGUUUGAGAUCUUUUGCUCAUGACUUCAAAUUUCACUUCAGGCUGCUUGCAGACCUGCACAACCAUUAGUGAAUUAUUUUAUUACUGAAUAAAGUUAGUUGAAAUUAAAUUAAAAAAAAAAAGAUUUUGUUUUAGAACAAAAGGUAAAAAUGCUGUAGUUGUCACGGAUGGUGCAAUUCAGGAGAGCACGGUCACUUUUGUGAAAGUUUAUUUUAAGAAUGAAUCUUCCUGGUACCUAAAUUGUCUUCAUCUAAUUGAGGGGAAUGAGAACAAGCAAAGACAUGGCCCGUCCUACUCACACCCUCCAAACAACUCCAAACCACAAAAGGAUCCCAGCCGAACUGCCAUUUGGGGUUAAGUUUGUUGUACACACAAAGCGUUUCCUGGUUUUCAGGUCUUCUGUUAUACUUAAACAAGAAGAAGCAAUCUAACUUUGUUGCGCUAGAACACCCAUUUCUUUGAAUUACAGUUGCUGCUUUUUCUGCACAGAUCACUGUCAUAGGAGCAUGUGCUGGAAGAACAACUGAAAUGGCUGACAUGCUGCUUUAAUGCAGAGUUGUAUCAUGCAUUCGUUCAGCUGCAAGUUCGGUUGGAACGAUGCUACAAAGACCAGAGAAUCACAGAAUCAUAGGGGUCGGAAGGGACCUCUGGAGAUCAUCUAGUCCACCUUCCUGCUAGAGCAGAAUCUCUGCAGUAGGUGAUGAAGUUCAACUCCUGACCAAUUCAAGUCUUGCUGAAAUCUAAUGCAUGCUAUUGAGGGCAUUAUCCAAACGCCUCAGAAAUACACUACAGAACUUAAAAUGGACCAUCAGGACUUUCUCUUAGUGCUCCCGUUCCCUACUCAUCCAGUUGUGCAACACACUCGGCAGAUGCAGUGGUGGCUGGGUAUUGGGGCAGGAUGCGGGCCUGCUCCCUGGGAAAGGAUGUGGACCUGAUCCCUAGACAGGAUGCAGACCUACUCCCCAUGGCAAGAUACAGGCCUGAUCGUCAGGGCAGGAUGUGGGCCUACUCCCAGCCACUGGGGCUUCUGCAUGUCGGCACUUGGAUGUGACAGCAAUCUGGCACUGGCUUUGCCUGUGGGUGAGAAGCAGCUUACUCUCCACGUUACUGCUAUGAAGGACUUUGGUGCAGGUGUCCUGAUAACUGUGUGGAAGUGUCUGAGCUGCUUGAUGGCUGUUUGGUGCCUUACAGAAGAGUGCUGUGAGUGUGAGAAAAAAAUACCACAGCCAGGAUAAGUGAUGGAAAGCCUGCUUCUGCUUCAACGAGCCUUAAAAAAAGAAGGAAUUGGGACUUCUAAACAACGUGCUAUCACUGAACUAGCAAGUGGCCCUUGUUCUGACAGCUCUGCUUCAAGAACACCGAUUUGAACUGAUGACAUUGCAAUGCCAGUGUUUUGCUGAAAAACAAUAACUACAGGAUGUCAAGUGAGACAAUCAGAUGGCAAAUUCAAAAUCUGUGACAUUCCUCAUGGAGUCUCCAGUCAAACUUUGAAUGGUUUCUGAUGUUAUAAAUCUUGCUUGACCAAACCACACACUGGGCAAAAUUAUGGAAGGAGAAGGUGAUACUGGAGUAUCCUGAACUUCAGAUUGCUGGAGGCUUCGAGAGAACAUCAAACAGGAACCUUGUGCCUCCAUCUGUGUUAGUAUGCAGUCAUAUCAUCUCCUAGUUUGGAAGCCAGCAGUCA